Molecule: ribosomal RNA, 650 nt
Filed under: uncultured bacterium
Lineage: Bacteria
Description: bacterial SSU rRNA
Rfam family: Bacterial small subunit ribosomal RNA
Source: RNAcentral
UGGCCGUGUAACUUUAGUGGCGGACGGGUGAGUAACACGUGAGAAUUUACCUUUAGGAGGGGAAUAACAGUUGGAAACGACUGCUAAUGCCGCAUAUCUUAACUAUGAAAGAAGAAAUUCGCCUAAAGAAAAGCUUGCGUCUGAUUAGCUAGUUGGUAAGGGUAAAGGCCUACCAAGGCGACGAUCAGUAGCUGGUUUGAGAGGACGACCAGUCACACUGGAACUGAGACACGGUCCAGACUCCUACGGGAGGCAGCAGUGGGGAAUUUUCUGCAAUGGGCGAAAGCCUGACAGAGCAAUACCGCGUGAGGGAAGAAAGCCCACAGGGUUGUAAACCUCUUUUGUCAGGGAAGAAGUUCUGACGUUACUUGACGAAUAAGCAUCGGCUAACUCCGUGCCAGCAGCCGCGGUAAGACGGGGGAUGCAUGUGUUAUCCGGAAUCACUGGGCGUAAAGCGUUUGUAGGUGGUUUAGUAAGUCUAUUGUUAAAGCUUGAAGCUUAACUUCAAAAAUGUAAUAGAAACUACUAGACUUGAGGAUAGUAGGGGUAAAGGGAAUUUCCAGUGGAGCGGCGAAAUGCGUAGAGAUUGGAAGGACCACCGAUGGCGAAGGCACUUUACUGGGCUAUUUCUGACACUAAGAGACGAAAGC